GUACACUCCUACGGGAGGCAGCAGUGGGGAAUAUUGGACAAUGGGCGCAAGCCUGAUCCAGCCAUGCCGCGUGAGUGAUGAAGGCCCUAGGGUUGUAAAGCUCUUUCACCGGUGAAGAUAAUGACGGUAACCGGAGAAGAAGCCCCGGCUAACUUCGUGCCAGCAGCCGCGGUAAUACGAAGGGGGCUAGCGUUGUUCGGAUUUACUGGGCGUAAAGCGCACGUAGGCGGACUAUUAAGUCAGGGGUGAAAUCCCGGGGCUCAACCCCGGAACUGCCUUUGAUACUGGUAGUCUUGAGUUCGAGAGAGGUGAGUGGAAUUCCGAGUGUAGAGGUGAAAUUCGUAGAUAUUCGGAGGAACACCAGUGCCGAAGGCGGCUCACUGGCUCGAUACUGACGCUGAGGUGCGAAAGCGUGGGGAGCAAACAGGAUUAGAAACCCGAGUAGUCCCAUG
This 452-nucleotide ribosomal RNA is filed under the name uncultured organism. RNAcentral describes it as "partial 16S ribosomal RNA". It matches the Rfam family "Bacterial small subunit ribosomal RNA", at positions 331 to 799 of the family's 1533-position model. The record is from RNAcentral.